Molecule: unclassified non-coding RNA, 241 nt
Filed under: plant metagenome
Description: partial contains small subunit ribosomal RNA and internal transcribed spacer 1
Rfam family: Eukaryotic small subunit ribosomal RNA (bases 1-46)
Source: RNAcentral
AAGUCGUAACAAGGUUUCCGUAGGUGAACCUGCGGAAGGAUCAUUAAUUGUACAACGAGGUUGUAGAAGGGACUGUCAGCUGACCUUUCAAAGGUCGUGCACGCCCAAGCACUUUCAUACAAUCCAUCUCACCCCUUUGUGCAUCACCGCGUUGGGUCCCCUUUGCGGGAGGGCUCACGUUUUCACACAAAACUCGAUACAGUGUAGAAUGUUCUUUUGCGAUCACACGCAAUCAAUACAA